UGGGGAAUUUUGCGCAAUGGGCGAAAGCCUGACGCAGCAACGCCGCGUGCGGGACGAAGGCCUUCGGGUUGUAAACCGCUUUCAGCAGGAACGAAAUCAGACGGUACCUGCAGAAGAAGCCCCGGCCAACUACGUGCCAGCAGCCGCGGUGAUACGUAGGGGGCGAGCGUUGUCCGGAUUUAUUGGGCGUAAAGAGCUCGUAGGCGGUUCGAUUAGUCAGGUGUUAAAACUCCAGGCUCAACUUGGAGAGGCCACCUGAUACUGUCGUGACUAGAGUCCGGUAGAGGAGCAUGGAAUUCCUGGUGUAGCGGUGAAAUGCGCAGAUAUCAGGAGGAACACCAGCGGCGAAGGCGGUGCUCUGGGCCGGAACUGACGCUGAGGAGCGAAAGCGUGGGGAGCGAACAG
This 405-nucleotide ribosomal RNA is filed under the name uncultured bacterium. RNAcentral's name for it is "bacterial SSU rRNA". It matches the Rfam family "Bacterial small subunit ribosomal RNA", at positions 355 to 775 of the family's 1533-position model. The record is from RNAcentral.